This 468-nucleotide ribosomal RNA is filed under the name uncultured bacterium. Its description in RNAcentral is "partial 16S ribosomal RNA". It matches the Rfam family "Bacterial small subunit ribosomal RNA", at positions 28 to 507 of the family's 1533-position model. The record is from RNAcentral.
GAUGAACGCUGGCGGCGUGCUUAACACAUGCAAGUCGAACGGUGAAGGCGGAGCUUGCUCUGCUGGAUCAGUGGCGAACGGGUGAGUAACACGUGAGCAAUCUGCCCCUGACUAUGGGAUAAGCGCUGGAAACGGCGUCUAAUACUGGAUACGAGCUGCGAAGGCAUCUUCAGCAGCUGGAAAGAACUUCGGUCAGGGAUGAGCUCGCGGCCUAUCAGCUUGUUGGUGAGGUAACGGCUCACCAAGGCGUCGACGGGUAGCCGGCCUGAGAGGGUGACCGGCCACACUGGGACUGAGACACGGCCCAGACUCCUACGGGAGGCAGCAGUGGGGAAUAUUGCACAAUGGGCGAAAGCCUGAUGCAGCAACGCCGCGUGAGGGACGACGGCCUUCGGGUUGUAAACCUCUUUUAGCAGGGAAGAAGCGAAAGUGACGGUACCUGCAGAAAAAGCGCCGGCUAACUACGUG